Molecule: RNase P RNA, 290 nt
Filed under: Apis mellifera (honey bee)
Lineage: Eukaryota; Metazoa; Arthropoda; Insecta; Hymenoptera; Apidae
Description: Nuclear RNase P
Rfam family: Nuclear RNase P
About the family: Ribonuclease P (RNase P) is a ubiquitous endoribonuclease, found in archaea, bacteria and eukarya as well as chloroplasts and mitochondria. Its best characterised activity is the generation of mature 5'-ends of tRNAs by cleaving the 5'-leader elements of precursor-tRNAs.
Source: Rfam by way of RNAcentral
GCAGCUUCAAUCUAGCGGAAGGGGUAUACAAGCAAGGUACAUAGUUACCACAAUUUCACCUCGGGAAGGUCUGAGAUUAAACCAAUAAACAUUCUAGACGGAUGAUACCAUAAGGGUAUGUACGGGAACCAGAAAUAGCUUUACGUUGCCAAUUAGCCCAGGAAACUUCAUUUGAAGUAGAGGUACUUGGAAACGAAAAGAUGGAAACCCGUAUGGUUCGCUGUUUGAGUACAAUCCGCAAGCCAGAAAAUUUAUCUUCUGGAACUCAAUUCAGACUAAUCUGAGGUUGC